This is a long non-coding RNA of Etheostoma cragini (Arkansas darter), 130 nucleotides long. RefSeq lists it as uncharacterized. Lineage: Eukaryota; Metazoa; Chordata; Actinopteri; Perciformes; Percidae. The transcript is spliced from 3 exons. The record is from RefSeq and is a predicted model, not a curated record.
CUGUAUAUUCUUCAUUCCGCCGGACUUCCCUCAUUUAGGCCAGAUGUCCGUCCUUGUCCUCUGUCUCUGUGUUGGCGUUCUAACCUCUGGUGGAUUUCUGAGGACUACGGUUACCUGGUCCUCAGAUCUC